GUGAUCUAGCCAUGACCAGGUUGAAGUUGGGGUAAAACCCGAUGGAGGACCGAACCGACCCCCGUUGAAACGUUGGCGGAUGAGUUGUGGCUAGGGGUGAAAUUCCAAUCGAACUCGGAGAUAGCUGGUUCUCCCCGAAAUAGCUUUAGGGCUAGCGUCGAGGUAAAGUCGUGUGAAGGUAGAGCACUGAAUAUGUGAUGGCCCCAUCUCGGGGUACUGAACAUAAUCAAACUCCGAAUGUCACAAAGAUAUACUCGGCAGUCAGACAGUGGGUGAUAAGGUCCAUUGUCAAAAGGGAAACAGCCCAGACCAUCAGCUAAGGUCCCAAAAUAUAUACUAAGUGGAAAAGGAUGUGGAGAUGUCCAGACAACUAGGAGGUUGGCUCAGAAGCAGCCAUCCUUUAAAGAGUGCGUAACAGCUCACUAGUCGAAUGACUCUGCGCCGAUAAUUUACCGGGGCUAAGUAUAUUACCGAAGCUAUGGAUUUACGCGUAAGCGUGAGUGGUAGGGGAGCGUUCUAUGUGCGGAGAAGCGGUACCGUAAGGAGCCGUGGAGCGCAUAGAAGAGAGAAUGCCGGUGUGAGUAGCGAAACGUGGGUGAGAAUCCCACGCACCGAAAACCCAAGGUUUCCAGAGGAAGGUUCGUCCGCUCUGGGUAAGUCGGGACCUAAGGCGAGGCCGAGAGGCGUAGUCGAUGGACAACAGGUAGAGAUUCCUGUACUUACGGUAUGAAUGAUGGAGUGACGGAGAAGGCUAGCGGAUCCUGCUGAUGGAAAUGCAGGUGCAAGCGAGGUAGCCGACAGCCAGGCAAAUCCGGCUGUCGAAAGGCAAAGGCGUGAGGCGUAUGGAAAGCUGCGGCAAGUACAGAAGUCCGUGAAGCCAGCUUCCAAGAAAAGCUUCUAGUGAUAAUCAUACAGUAACCCGUACCGAAAAUGGACACACAUGGGUGAGGAGAGAAUCCUAAGGUGAGCGAGAGAACUAUAGCUAAGGAACUCUGCAAAAUGACUCCGUAACUUAGGGAUAAGGAGUGCUCAUAGAGAUAUGAGCCGCAGUGAAACGGCCCAAGCGACUGUUUACCAAAAACACAGCUCUAUGCUAAGUCGAAAGACGACGUAUAUGGGGUGACGCCUGCCCGGUGCUGGAAGGUUAAGAGGAUGUGUCAGCGCAAGCGAAGCAUUGAAUUGAAGCCCCAGUAAACGGCGGCCGUAACUAUAACGGUCCUAAGGUAGCGAAAUUCCUUGUCAGGUAAGUUCUGACCCGCACGAAAGGCGUAACGAUUUGGGCGCUGUCUCAGCUGUAGACUCGGUGAAGUCUUAGUACCUGUGAAGAUGCAGGUUACCCGCGACUAGACGGAAAGACCCCAUGGAGCUUUACUGUAGCUUGAUAUUGGACUUUGAUGCAAGAUGUACAGGAUAGGUAGGAGACUGAGAGACAUGCACGCCAGUGUGUGAGGAGUCAAUGUUGGGAUACUACUCUUCUUGUAUUGGAGUUCUAACCGGAUGCCAUGGAACUGGCAACGGGACAGUGUCAGGUGGGCAGUUUGACUGGGGCGGUCGCCUCCCAAAGAGUAACGGAGGCGCCCAAAGAUACCCUCAGCUUGGAUGGAAAUCAAGCGCAGAGUGCAAAGGCAUAAGGGUGUUUGACUGCGAGACCUACAAGUCGAGCAGGGACGAAAGUCGGGCUUAGUGAUCCGGCGGUGCUGAAUGGAAAGGCCGUCGCUCAACGGAUAAAAGCUACCCUGGGGAUAACAGGCUGAUCUCCCCCAAGAGUUCACAUCGACGGGGAGGUUUGGCACCUCGAUGUCGGCUCAUCGCAUCCUGGAGCUGAAGUCGGUUCCAAGGGUUGGGCUGUUCGCCCAUUAAAGCGGUACGCGAGCUGGGUUCAGAACGUCGUGAGACAGUUCGGUCCCUAUCUGUCGUGGGCGUAGGAAGUUUGAGAAGAUCUGUCCUCAGUACGAGAGGACCGGGAUGGACAUAUCAAUGGUGCACCAGUUGUCACGCCAGUGGCACAGCUGGGUAGCUAAAUAUGGAAGGGAUAAACGCUGAAGGCAUCUAAGUGUGAAACCCACUUCAAGAUGAGACUUCCCAUUACGCAAGUAAGUAAGACCCCUUAAAGACGAUAAGGUUGAUAGGUCAGGAGUGUAAGCAUGGCGACAUGUUCAGCGGACUGAUACUAAUAGGUCGAGGACUUAACCUA
RNAcentral lists this ribosomal RNA (2194 nucleotides) under Coprobacillus sp. 8_2_54BFAA. RNAcentral describes it as "bacterial LSU rRNA". It matches the Rfam family "Bacterial large subunit ribosomal RNA", at positions 725 to 2925 of the family's 2925-position model. Lineage: Bacteria; Bacillati; Bacillota; Erysipelotrichia; Erysipelotrichales; Coprobacillaceae. The record is from RNAcentral.